Molecule: long non-coding RNA, 1051 nt
Organism: Electrophorus electricus (electric eel)
Lineage: Eukaryota; Metazoa; Chordata; Actinopteri; Gymnotiformes; Gymnotidae
Source: RefSeq, a predicted model, not a curated record
ACCCUGAUGCUGUUGAAGCUAAGCGGAUGAUGUCAUCGCUCCAUUAACCACAGCGGCAUCUGUGCUGCCCCGAGAGCUCGCCAACAGGGAGCCUGUUCCAGGCCGGCUGUCGUCUCCCCCUACGGUCUCCCUCGCCAAGCUACCAGCCGACGGCGGCCAAAACAUCACCGAAGGGAGGAGCAUUUGGCUUCACCUUGCUGCGUUGCUGUAUAUCUGAUCCUGCAGGGCUGAUUGAAAGGUUAAUGGGCAGAGUGGGCCAGACGCACUGUUCUUCACCACUGACAGUGAGUAACGCCGCUGCUCCGUUUCCAGGAAGCGCCUGUCUCCUUCUCGGGAUCGAUCCACCUCGUACCAUCCGCUGGCUCCCAUUUUUAGAGCUAAUGGAAGAGGCACGUUACUACGUUACUGCAAACACGCGCGUCGCUGAUUACAAGUGACCGCGCCUUGAUCGUUAUUCAGCCUACAGGAAAUAUGUGGUGACUUAGAGACUUCAUUGGAAGUGACCCCGCUGAGGCAAAGCCAGAGGUGGGAUAUUUAUGUACAACAGCACUCAGUUGCACCAGCUAUUUAAGUUCUUCCUUAUGGCCAUGUGUUGACAGCUGUAGUGCAAACCACAGUCGACUUCAAAGAGCACAGUACCACCCACAGUGUUUAUUCCCAAUCCAGUGCAAUAGAUCAUGGAACAAAUGGCAAAAACUGACAGUCUUGUUAGUGUAACAACAUGUUUGUAUUUGUAAUCUAAAGAAGAGGAACGUGGAUGGGAGAUGCACGUCUGGGUUUGACACAACAGGGACAGCAGGAUUGAUUAUCUCUGUGCAGAAGCUCUGGAAAAAAAAAACAACCCUAGGAUGUGUUUUCUGCAUCCUUCGGAACAAAGAGACCCACAUUCACACCAUAGUGCCCCUCGCCUGGCGACGCCCUUGAGGAAAGCCUCUCGGGCCAGACUGGCUUUUGAUUGGGUGUGAUCCCGUGGCCGUAACCAUAGCGACUGCCCACGGAGCACCUGGAGGAGUGACGCAGGCGUCGUCAUGGCUGCCGAAGGACGAGGAUG